This 253-nucleotide ribosomal RNA is filed under the name uncultured bacterium. Its description in RNAcentral is "partial 16S ribosomal RNA". It matches the Rfam family "Bacterial small subunit ribosomal RNA", at positions 524 to 776 of the family's 1533-position model. The record is from RNAcentral.
UACAGAGGGGGCAAGCGUUGUUCGGAAUUACUGGGCGUAAAGGGCGCGUAGGCGGCCUGUUAAGUCGAACGUGAAAUCCCACGGCUCAACCGUGGAAGUGCAUUCGAAACUGCAGGGCUAGAGUCCUGGAGAGGAAGGUGGAAUGCUUGGUGUAGAGGUGAAAUUCGUAGAUAUCAAGCGGAACACCGGUGGCGAAGGCGGCCUCCUGGACCAACACUGACACUGAAAAGCGAAAGCCAGGGGAGCAAACGGG